Molecule: transfer RNA, 87 nt
Filed under: Nitrospina sp.
Lineage: Bacteria; Pseudomonadati; Nitrospinota; Nitrospinia; Nitrospinales; Nitrospinaceae
Description: tRNA-Leu
Rfam family: tRNA
About the family: Transfer RNA (tRNA) molecules are approximately 80 nucleotides in length.
Source: RNAcentral
GCCGGGGUGGCGGAAUUGGUAGACGCAAGGGACUUAAAAUCCCUCGAGGGAAACCUCGUGCCGGUUCGAGUCCGGCCCUCGGCACCA